This 466-nucleotide ribosomal RNA is filed under the name uncultured bacterium. RNAcentral's name for it is "partial 16S ribosomal RNA". It matches the Rfam family "Bacterial small subunit ribosomal RNA", at positions 29 to 506 of the family's 1533-position model. The record is from RNAcentral.
ACGAACGCUGGCGGCGUGCUUAACACAUGCAAGUCGAACGGAAAGGCCCUGCUUUUGUGGGGUGCUCGAGUGGCGAACGGGUGAGUAACACGUGAGUAACCUGCCCUUGACUUUGGGAUAACUUCAGGAAACUGGGGCUAAUACCGGAUAGGAGCUCCUGCUGCAUGGUGGGGGUUGGAAAGUUUCGGCGGUUGGGGAUGGACUCGCGGCUUAUCAGCUUGUUGGUGGGGUAGUGGCUUACCAAGGCUUUGACGGGUAGCCGGCCUGAGAGGGUGACCGGCCACAUGGGGACUGAGAUACGGCCCAGACUCCUACGGGAGGCAGCAGGGGGGAAUAUUGCACAAUGGGCGGAAGCCUGAGGCAGCAACGCCGCGUGCGGGAUGACGGCCUUCGGGUUGUAAACCGCUUUCGCCUGUGACGAAGCGUGAGUGACGGUAAUGGGUAAAGAAGCACCGGCUAACUACGU